Molecule: ribosomal RNA, 496 nt
Filed under: uncultured bacterium
Lineage: Bacteria
Description: partial 16S ribosomal RNA
Rfam family: Bacterial small subunit ribosomal RNA
Source: RNAcentral
AUGAACGCUGGCGGCGUGCCUAAUACAUGCAAGUCGAGCGAACAGACGAGGAGCUUGCUCCUCUGACGUUAGCGGCGGACGGGUGAGUAACACGUGGAUAACCUACCUAUAAGACUGGGAUAACUUCGGGAAACCGGAGCUAAUACCGGAUAAUAUAUUGAACCGCAUGGUUCAAUAGUGAAAGACGGUUUUGCUGUCACUUAUAGAUGGAUCCGCGCCGCAUUAGCUAGUUGGUAAGGUAACGGCUUACCAAGGCGACGAUGCGUAGCCGACCUGAGAGGGUGAUCGGCCACACUGGAACUGAGACACGGUCCAGACUCCUACGGGAGGCAGCAGUAGGGAAUCUUCCGCAAUGGGCGAAAGCCUGACGGAGCAACGCCGCGUGAGUGACGAAGGUCUUCGGAUCGUAAAACUCUGUUAUUAGGGAAGAACAAAUGUGUAAGUAACUAUGCACGUCUUGACGGUACCUAAUCAGAAAGCCACGGCUAACUACGUG